Molecule: ribosomal RNA, 222 nt
Filed under: uncultured bacterium
Lineage: Bacteria
Description: partial 16S ribosomal RNA
Rfam family: Bacterial small subunit ribosomal RNA
Source: RNAcentral
AGUAAUACAUCGGAACGUGCCCUGUAGUGGGGGAUAACUAGUCGAAAGAUUAGCUAAUACCGCAUACGACCUGAGGGUGAAAGUGGGGGACCGCAAGGCCUCAUGCUAUAGGAGCGGCCGAUGUCUGAUUAGCUAGUUGGUGGGGUAAAGGCCCACCAAGGCGACGAUCAGUAGCUGGUCUGAGAGGACGAUCAGCCACACUGGGACUGAGACACGGCCCAG